GUAACAGGAAGCAGCUUGCUGCUUUGCUGACGAGUGGCGGACGGGUGAGUAAUGUCUGGGAAACUGCCUGAUGGAGGGGGAUAACUACUGGAAACGGUGGCUAAUACCGCAUAACGUCGCAAGACCAAAGAGGGGGACCUUCGGGCCUCUUGCCAUCAGAUGUGCCCAGAUGGGAUUAGCUUGUUGGUGAGGUAACGGCUCACCAAGGCGACGAUCCCUAGCUGGUCUGAGAGGAUGACCAGCCACACUGGAACUGAGACACGGUCCAGACUCCUACGGGAGGCAGCAGUGGGGAAUAUUGCACAAUGGGCGCAAGCCUGAUGCAGCCAUGCCGCGUGUAUGAAGAAGGCCUUCGGGUUGUAAAGUACUUUCAGCGGGGAGGAAGGUGUUGUGGUUAAUAACCGCAGCAAUUGACGUUACCCGCAGAAGAAGCACCGGCUAACUCCGUGCCAGCAGCCGCGGUAAUACGGAGGGUGCAAGCGUUAAUCGGAAUUACUGGGCGUAAAGCGCACGCAGGCGGUCUGUCAAGUCGGAUGUGAAAUCCCCGGGCUCAACCUGGGAACUGCAUUCGAAACUGGCAGGCUUGAGUCUUGUAGAGGGGGGUAGAAUUCCAGGUGUAGCGGUGAAAUGCGUAGAGAUCUGGAGGAAUACCGGUGGCGAAGGCGGCCCCCUGGACAAAGACUGACGCUCAGGUGCGAAAGCGUGGGGAGCAAACAGGAUUAGAUACCCUGGUAGUCCACGCCGUAAACGAUGUCUACUUGGAGGUUGUGCCCUUGAGGCGUGGCUUCCGGAGCUAACGCGUUAAGUAGACCGCCUGGGGAGUACGGCCGCAAGGUUAAAACUCAAAUGAAUUGACGGGGGCCCGCACAAGCGGUGGAGCAUGUGGUUUAAUUCGAUGCAACGCGAAGAACCUUACCUGGUCUUGACAUCCACAGAAGAAUCCAGAGAUGGAUUUGUGCCUUCGGGAACUGUGAGACAGGUGCUGCAUGGCUGUCGUCAGCUCGUGUUGUGAAAUGUUGGGUUAAGUCCCGCAACGAGCGCAACCCUUAUCCUUUGUUGCCAGCGGUUAGGCCGGGAACUCAAAGGAGACUGCCAGUGAUAAACUGGAGGAAGGUGGGGAUGACGUCAAGUCAUCAUGGCCCUUACGACCAGGGCUACACACGUGCUACAAUGGCGCAUACAAAGAGAAGCGACCUCGCGAGAGCAAGCGGACCUCAUAAAGUGCGUCGUAGUCCGGAUUGGAGUCUGCAACUCGACUCCAUGAAGUCGGAAUCGCUAGUAAUCGUGGAUCAGAAUGCCACGGUGAAUACGUUCCCGGGCCUUGUACACACCGCCCGUCACACCAUGGGAGUGGGUUGCAAAAGAAGUAGGUAGCUUAACCUUCGGGAGGGCGCUUACCACUUUGUGAUUCAUGACUGGGGUGAAGUCGUAACAAGGUAACCGUAGGGGAACCUGCGGUUGGAUCACCUCCUUA
This 1474-nucleotide ribosomal RNA is filed under the name Salmonella enterica. RNAcentral's name for it is "bacterial SSU rRNA". It matches the Rfam family "Bacterial small subunit ribosomal RNA". The record is from RNAcentral. RNAcentral also lists the same sequence under 1 other name. Lineage: Bacteria; Pseudomonadati; Pseudomonadota; Gammaproteobacteria; Enterobacterales; Enterobacteriaceae.